This 309-nucleotide ribosomal RNA is filed under the name Triticum aestivum (bread wheat). Its description in RNAcentral is "partial small subunit ribosomal RNA". The record is from RNAcentral. Lineage: Eukaryota; Viridiplantae; Streptophyta; Magnoliopsida; Poales; Poaceae.
AUGGCAUGGCUUAGUUGGGAGAAGAUGCUGCUUCCGAAGGCUAUGGGAGGUAUGGGAUUUCGUGAUAUGAGGGCCUUUAAUCAAGCUUUUUUGGCCAAGCAGGCGUGGCGUCUCCUGGAUAGUCCGGACAGCUUGUGUGCUCGUUUGUUGAAGGCUAAAUACUACCCAAGGGGGAAUUUAUUGGACACGGUAUUCUCAGCUAGUUCUUCGGCGGUGUGGAAAGGUAUUGUUCAUGGACUUGAUCUUUUGAAGAAAGGCAUUAUAUGGCGAGUAGGUAAUGGUACUCACAUUAAAACAUGGAGAGAUGUU